AGAGUUUGAUCCUGGCUCAGGACGAACGCUGGCGGCGUGCUUAACACAUGCAAGUCGAACGGAAAGGCCCUGCUUGCAGGGUGCUCGAGUGGCGAACGGGUGAGUAACACGUGGGUGAUCUGCCCUGCACUUCGGGAUAAGCUUGGGAAACUGGGUCUAAUACCGGAUAGGACUCCGAGAUGCAUGUCUUGGGGUGGAAAGCGUUUAGUGGUGUGGGAUGGGCCCGCGGCCUAUCAGCUUGUUGGUGGGGUGAUGGCCUACCAAGGCGACGACGGGUAGCCGGCCUGAGAGGGUGUCCGGCCACACUGGGACUGAGAUACGGCCCAGACUCCUACGGGAGGCAGCAGUGGGGAAUAUUGCACAAUGGGCGCAAGCCUGAUGCAGCGACGCCGCGUGGGGGAUGACGGCCUUCGGGUUGUAAACCUCUUUCACCAUCGACGAAGGCCCGUCUUUGUGGUGGGUUGACGGUAGGUGGAGAAGAAGCACCGGCCAACUACGUGCCAGCAGCCGCGGUAAUACGUAGGGUGCGAGCGUUGUCCGGAAUUACUGGGCGUAAAGAGCUCGUAGGUGGUUUGUCGCGUUGUUCGUGAAAUUCCCUGGCUUAACUGGGGGCGUGCGGGCGAUACGGGCAGACUGGAGUACUGCAGGGGAGACUGGAAUUCCUGGUGUAGCGGUGGAAUGCGCAGAUAUCAGGAGGAACACCGGUGGCGAAGGCGGGUCUCUGGGCAGUAACUGACGCUGAGGAGCGAAAGCGUGGGGAGCGAACAGGAUUAGAUACCCUAGUAGUCC
RNAcentral lists this ribosomal RNA (789 nucleotides) under uncultured bacterium. RNAcentral describes it as "bacterial SSU rRNA". It matches the Rfam family "Bacterial small subunit ribosomal RNA", at positions 8 to 796 of the family's 1533-position model. The record is from RNAcentral.